This 539-nucleotide ribosomal RNA is filed under the name Storeus sp. ARC3515. Its description in RNAcentral is "SSU rRNA". It matches the Rfam family "Eukaryotic small subunit ribosomal RNA", at positions 32 to 569 of the family's 1831-position model. Lineage: Eukaryota; Metazoa; Arthropoda; Insecta; Coleoptera; Curculionidae. The record is from RNAcentral.
UUGUCUCAAAGAUUAAGCCAUGCAUGUCUCAGUACAAGCCAAUUUAAGGUGAAACCGCGAAAGGCUCAUUAAAUCAGUUAUGGUUCCUUAGAUCGUACCCACAAUUACUUGGAUAACUGUGGUAAUUCUAGAGCUAAUACAUGCAAACAGAGCUCCGACCGGAGACGGAAGGAGUGCUUUUAUUAGAUCAAAACCAAUCGGUUUCGAGUUGGUGACUCUGAAUAACUUUACGCUGAUCGCACGGUCUUAGCACCGGCGACGCAUCUUUCAAAUGUCUGCCUUAUCAACUGUCGAUGGUAGGUUCUGCGCCUACCAUGGUCGUAACGGGUAACGGGGAAUCAGGGUUCGAUUCCGGAGAGGGAGCCUGAGAAACGGCUACCACAUCCAAGGAAGGCAGCAGGCGCGCAAAUUACCCACUCCCGGCACGGGGAGGUAGUGACGAAAAAUAACGAUACGGGACUCAUCCGAGGCCCCGUAAUCGGAAUGAGUACACUCUAAACCCUUUAACGAGGAUCAAUUGGAGGGCAAGUCUGGUGCCA